Molecule: ribosomal RNA, 841 nt
Filed under: Virgibacillus dokdonensis
Lineage: Bacteria; Bacillati; Bacillota; Bacilli; Caryophanales; Bacillaceae
Description: bacterial SSU rRNA
Rfam family: Bacterial small subunit ribosomal RNA
Source: RNAcentral
GCAUGGACGAAGUCUGACGGAGCACGCCGCGUGAGUGAUGAAGGUUUUCGGAUCGUAAAACUCUGUUGUUAGGGAAGAACAAGUGCCAUUCGAAUAGGUUGGCACCUUGACGGUACCUAACCAGAAAGCCCCGGCUAACUACGUGCCAGCAGCCGCGGUAAUACGUAGGGGGCAAGCGUUGUCCGGAAUUAUUGGGCGUAAAGCGCGCGCAGGCGGUCCUUUAAGUCUGAUGUGAAAGCCCACGGCUUAACCGUGGAGGGCCAUUGGAAACUGGAGGACUUGAGUACAGAAGAGGAGAGUGGAAUUCCACGUGUAGCGGUGAAAUGCGUAGAGAUGUGGAGGAACACCAGUGGCGAAGGCGACUCUCUGGUCUGUAACUGACGCUGAGGUGCGAAAGCGUGGGUAGCGAACAGGAUUAGAUACCCUGGUAGUCCACGCCGUAAACGAUGAGUGCUAGGUGUUAGGGGGUUUCCGCCCCUUAGUGCUGAAGUUAACGCAUUAAGCACUCCGCCUGGGGAGUACGGCCGCAAGGCUGAAACUCAAAAGAAUUGACGGGGACCCGCACAAGCGGUGGAGCAUGUGGUUUAAUUCGAAGCAACGCGAAGAACCUUACCAGGUCUUGACAUCCUCUGACACCCCUAGAGAUAGGGCAUUCCCUUCGGGGACAGAGUGACAGGUGGUGCAUGGUUGUCGUCAGCUCGUGUCGUGAGAUGUUGGGUUAAGUCCCGCAACGAGCGCAACCCUUGAUCUUAGUUGCCAGCAUUUAGUUGGGCACUCUAAGGUGACUGCCGGUGACAAACCGGAGGAAGGUGGGGAUGACGUCAAAUCAUCAUGCCCCUUA